Molecule: ribosomal RNA, 253 nt
Filed under: uncultured bacterium
Lineage: Bacteria
Description: partial 16S ribosomal RNA
Rfam family: Bacterial small subunit ribosomal RNA
Source: RNAcentral
UACGGAGGGGGCUAGCGUUGUUCGGAAUUACUGGGCGUAAAGCGCACGUAGGCGGCUUUGUAAGUUAGAGGUGAAAGCCCGGGGCUCAACUCCGGAAUUGCCUUUAAGACUGCAUCGCUAGAAUUGUGGAGAGGUAAGUGGAAUUCCGAGUGUAGAGGUGAAAUUCGUAGAUAUUCGCAGGAACACCAGUGGCGAAGGCGGCUACCUGGACAGAUACUGACACUGAGGCGCGAGAGCGUGGGGAGCAAACAGG